Vulpes vulpes (red fox) is the source of this 236-nucleotide unclassified non-coding RNA. Its record names the gene 7SK. It matches the Rfam family "7SK RNA". Rfam says of the family: 7SK was discovered as an abundant small nuclear RNA in the mid-70s but a possible function has only recently been suggested. Two independent studies have found that 7SK RNA binds the CDK9/cyclin T complex (known as elongation factor P-TEFb). P-TEFb activates transcription by phosphorylating the C-terminal domain of RNA polymerase II. The record is from Ensembl. Lineage: Eukaryota; Metazoa; Chordata; Mammalia; Carnivora; Canidae.
UCAAGUAGCCCACAUGACAGUGCGUCCCUCCCAAAGCUGUGCGCUCGGUCAAAGAGGAGGACCAUCCCCGAUAGAGGAGGACUGUUCUUCCAUCAAGGGUAUACGAGUAGCUGCGCUCCCCUGCUAGAACCUCCGAACAAGCUCUCAAGACAGUAAGAAAAUGAGAAUAAGAAAGAGAGAUGGGGAGAAAGUAUGGAGGGGGCAAACAGAAAAUAAAAAGUAAAAUGGCAUCCUUA